This 363-nucleotide unclassified non-coding RNA is filed under the name fungal sp. RNAcentral's name for it is "partial internal transcribed spacer region". The stretch from base 1 to 46 matches the Rfam family "Eukaryotic small subunit ribosomal RNA", at positions 1786 to 1831 of the family's 1831-position model. Lineage: Eukaryota; Fungi. The record is from RNAcentral.
AAGUCGUAACAAGGUUUCCGUAGCUGAACCUGCGGAAGGAUCAUUAACACGUAUCCAAACGUUAAAACCCCCCCCGUGAACCUUCAUCCUGCUCUUGUAACCCGCGUAGUUCGUAAUCUCUGAUAAAUCGAUAAUCGAGCGGUAGUUCUAUAGGCAAUGUUUCCCCAAGCAGUCAGUGUCGGAAAGUGUCAUUGAUUGUGCAAGGAUAGCGCUUCUACGAUUCCUGUAGACCGUACACUCGGGCAGGAGCUUUGCCAAAGGGUCCCCAUGCCCCCUAAUAACCCCACAGUUUAAUGUGAAGCUCAAUGUAAUACAUUGGGUAAAAAAACCGAACAACUGUUAACAAUGGAUAUCUUGGUUCUC